AGAUCUUUGUGGCUGUAGUCCUGUGUCGGAUCGUGUGACAUCAGGGCGCUCAGGUUGUCGUCGAGCUGUUCCCGGCUCAGGUGCUGCAGGCCGCCGGCUGCUUCAGAUAGGAGUGUACCAGUUAUGGCACUCAGCCAGGACUCUAGUCGAUCCCAGUGGGCAUCAGGGCUGGAUGAUCGAGACAUGCUGGCUCACUGGUGAAAAGAGAGAGGGAGAGAGAGAGAGAGGGAGAGAGGGAGAGAGGGACAGCACGAAAAGGCCAAUGCAAGUCCUUACAGCGUUAGCAGGCUGCAAUUAUAUGUUCUAUGCACGGUCUGUUUGAUGAGUACAAACAGUUAGUGGAGUGUAGACCAGACACCUGUUAUCUUGGCCGUGAAUGGCACGGUGUGUCUAAUUGUGUGUCACCGGAAAGGAUCUAACUCAGAUUGUUGACAGCGUGAUCGUCUAAAGACUUUGGCAGCUUGGGUCGUCAAUCUAUUACUCAGCCUUCCCUGAUGAUUCUCAAAGGUUCGGUCUCUAGGCAAACAAAA
This is a long non-coding RNA of Sinocyclocheilus rhinocerous, 530 nucleotides long. RefSeq lists it as uncharacterized. The transcript has 2 exons. The record is from RefSeq and is a predicted model, not a curated record. NCBI's taxonomy places the organism in Eukaryota, Metazoa, Chordata, Actinopteri, Cypriniformes, Cyprinidae.